AUUUAUUGGGCGUAAAGAGCUCGUAGGCGGUUUGUCGCGUCUGCCGUGAAAGUCCGAGGCUCAACCUCGGAUCUGCGGUGGGUACGGGCAGACUAGAGUGAUGUAGGGGAGACUGGAAUUCCUGGUGUAGCGGUGAAAUGCGCAGAUAUCAGGAGGAACACCGAUGGCGAAGGCAGGUCUCUGGGCAUUUACUGACGCUGAGGAGCGAAAGCAUGGGGAGCGAACAGGAUUAGAUACCCUGGUAGUCCAUGCCGUAAACGUUGGGCACUAGGUGUGGGGGACAUUCCACGUUUUCCGCGCCGUAGCUAACGCAUUAAGUGCCCCGCCUGGGGAGUACGGCCGCAAGGCUAAAACUCAAAGGAAUUGACGGGGGCCCGCACAAGCGGCGGAGCAUGCGGAUUAAUUCGAUGCAACGCGAAGAACCUUACCAAGGCUUGACAUGUGCCAGACCGCCUCAGAGAUGGGGUUUCCCUUCGGGGCUGGUUCACAGGUGGUGCAUGGUUGUCGUCAGCUCGUGUCGUGAGAUGUUGGGUUAAGUCCCGCAACGAGCGCAACCCUCGUUCCAUGUUGCCAGCACGUAGUGGUGGGGACUCAUGGGAGACUGCCGGGGUCAACUCGGAGGAAGGUGGGGAUGACGUCAAAUCAUCAUGCCCCUUAUGUCUUGGGCUUCACGCAUGCUACAAUGGCCGGUACAAUGGGUUGCGAUACUGUGAGGUGG
RNAcentral lists this ribosomal RNA (718 nucleotides) under Arthrobacter sp. OF417. Its description in RNAcentral is "bacterial SSU rRNA". It matches the Rfam family "Bacterial small subunit ribosomal RNA", at positions 549 to 1265 of the family's 1533-position model. Lineage: Bacteria; Bacillati; Actinomycetota; Actinomycetes; Micrococcales; Micrococcaceae. The record is from RNAcentral.